Molecule: non-coding RNA, 100 nt
Organism: Cicer arietinum (chickpea)
Lineage: Eukaryota; Viridiplantae; Streptophyta; Magnoliopsida; Fabales; Fabaceae
Source: Rfam
UUGGGUAUGAGAUAUUGGUACAGUUCAAUCAAAAGGACGUGUUUUAUGAAUCUAAAGCUUUCUUAUUUGAUUGAGCCGUGCCAAUAUCACAUAUAACUAU